UUAAGUUCAGCGGGUAAUCCUACCUGAUUUGAGGUCAAACUUAAAAGAACACUGUUCGCCAUGGUGCAACGUAGUAAAAGCACUACACUCACUGCAGAACUCCCCGCUAACCGUCUUCGAAGUUGGUAGAACCUAAUACGAAGAUGUCCAGCAGGACGUCCCUUAACGCAGCAAGCGCUCUCCCCGAAAGGAGACACUCA
This 200-nucleotide unclassified non-coding RNA is filed under the name Kazachstania sp. RNAcentral describes it as "partial internal transcribed spacer 2". The record is from RNAcentral. Lineage: Eukaryota; Fungi; Ascomycota; Saccharomycetes; Saccharomycetales; Saccharomycetaceae.